This 460-nucleotide ribosomal RNA is filed under the name uncultured bacterium. RNAcentral's name for it is "partial 16S ribosomal RNA". It matches the Rfam family "Bacterial small subunit ribosomal RNA", at positions 338 to 795 of the family's 1533-position model. The record is from RNAcentral.
CCUACGGGAGGCAGCAGUGAGGAAUAUUGGUCAAUGGACGAGAGUCUGAACCAGCCAAGUAGCGUGAAGGAUGACUGCCCUAUGGGUUGUAAACUUCUUUUAUAUGGGAAUAAAAUGUUCCACGUGUGGGAUUUUGUAUGUACCAUAUGAAUAAGGAUCGGCUAACUCCGUGCCAGCAGCCGCGGUAAUACGAAGGAUCCGAGCGUUAUCCGGAUUUAUUGGGUUUAACGGGAGCGUAGGUGGAUUGUUAAGUCAGUUGUGAAAGUUUGCGGCUCAACCGUAAAAUUGCAGUUGAAACUGGCAGUCUUGAGUACAGUAGAGGUGGGCGGAAUUCGUGGUGUAGCGGUGAAAUGCUUAGAUAUCACGAAGAACUCCGAUUGCGAAGGCAGUUCACUGGACUGCAACUGACACUGAGGCUCGAAAGUGUGGGUAUCAAACAGGAUUAGAUACCCUUGUAGUC